This is a long non-coding RNA of Mustela erminea (ermine), 4555 nucleotides long. RefSeq lists it as uncharacterized. Lineage: Eukaryota; Metazoa; Chordata; Mammalia; Carnivora; Mustelidae. The transcript is spliced from 4 exons. The record is from RefSeq and is a predicted model, not a curated record.
UGCGACACCUGCAGGGGGAGGCCAGCCGCCAGAUCUGGGAUGGGGGCUGUUCUGGGGGAGAAUGACCCAGUUUAUUAAUUAAGGGGCUGGAGGAAAAGAAAAAAAGGAGGACUGUCUGACAAUUAAAGCUUAAAAGACACAAUUAAAUGGAUGUGAGGACCUUAUGUGGAUCAUGAUGGAAAAAACCAGCUGCACAAAAGACAUUUGUGACACGGAGCCGGACUCCACCAGCAACCUAAAGGAACCCCCUGGGAGCCCAGCCUGCCGGCACCUGCUGCUGUGAGACCUGGAGGGGCACUGAGGCCCUGAAGAAUCCCGUGAGGUGGGCCUUACAUUUACUGGUUUUGUUGGAUCAUGUUUUGGAUCUCAGCACAGGGAAUAGAUUGAUCCUAGCCCUUGCUUCCUUUUUCAGCAGCACCGCUCAUUCUUGUCCCACUUUGGAAUAUUGCUUUGUUUGGUGGCCAACUCCUCUGCCAAGGGGAAGCCAGGGUUCCCAGGCUGGGAGACUUGCCUGGAUGAGGGACCUGAUGUCUAGCAGCAGAUCUCACCACAACUCGUCUCUGGCACACUGGCUCUAAGCAGGAAGGAUGUUCUUGUGGCAGAACUAAAACCCACGACUGAAAAUAAGUUGAAUCACGCUGAUGAAAUGUGGAACGCAAAGGGUCUCCCCUGAUUUCCAAGUUCACCGCUGUGAACAUUGCAUAUGCUGUCAACGCAGAAACACCUAGAAGGUGCACGGGCCGUGAAGAAGGGCACAGCGGGAGCAGGUGGAGGGACCUUUCUGGGCAUUUGCAUGGAGCGUGAGAUUGGUGCGGGGACACGGACUGUGCCAUGGGCAGGACAUGAGCUAACAGCCAGCACUGAGCUUCUGUGUGAGGUCAUUACCAGCAGGUGACCCUCCCCGUGCUGUGUGCUUGUGCAGCCGCCGUGUCCUCGGCUGGAACUUGGCAAACAUCACCUUCGAGUGUGUGGGCAAGGUGAGCUUUGGGGGAAAUGCGAAUUUGGCAGUGAUGUGGCCGGGUGGGAAUUUAAUAGGGUGUCCCCAGUGGGGCCCUGCUGUGCCUUCUGCAGGCCAGCGAGCCCCCUCCAGGCCUGUUUCCCUCCACCCUGUCCUUAUUUCCUUUGAUGCCUGGGUUCGGAAACCAGUCACUCUGGAGACUGAAAACCUGGAGGUGUGCCGCCAGCUGCCCGCCUGGGGCCGCGGUAAGGGCUUUUCUUUGGGAGGGGGUGACUGUGGUUCUCUCAGAGAAGUGGACAAGCUACUACGGGGUGCUCACGAUCUCGCUCUACAGGCAGGAAGCUCAUUAUCCCUGUGACCCUCAUGCCAGGGAAACGGGCUCAUAUGCUCCCUGUUUUGUCUGCCCAGCAUCCCUGACUCUUGGGAACUCCCGCACCCUUCCACGUGACCCCAGUGGGGCUGUCAGUUGAGGGACUGACACAGGUAGGUCUGAGCGCCUGUUGUCCCGCGUGCAGUGUGACUGGGCCAAUGCUGAGGGCGGGACCAAGCAGGGCCCAGCAUCCUUGUCUUAGGAGGUAGAUGUUGAGGCCCAGAGAGGUUAAGUGACCUGCCUUAGGGCAUAGAGCUAGACCAGAAGCAAGGAGGCCCCCAAGGCUGUGGCAUUUACAGGGGGAAAAGCCAGAGACUGAACCCUGGGCCCACGAGCAAUGAUGGGGUUCUCACUCUGACCUAAGGGCCCUGGAAGUGGGAGAUGCGAGCGGGACCCUAAACACAACUGGAACCUUCGGUGAGAGACAGAGGCAGCCUGACAGCUCCCAUGGGCUGAGGAGGGUUUGGGUUGCAUGGGGUUGCUGGUGCAGAGUCACUGCCAGGAGGCCGCUGGGGUCACUGGCCGGGACCCCCAUCCCUGCACAGGGAGAAGGGCCCACGGGAGGGGACUCCAUGGUAGAGGAGUGGCCGGCCCUUCCCCGUUCUGCCUCUCCCCUCCCCUUCCCUGCCGGGUCUUGUGUGAGGAGAUGGCUGCGGAGUAUGGCCGCAGUAGGACCACUGGGCCACCGCCAGGAUGUUCUGGCUGGGUGGAGAUGGGCAUGGGAGCAUGUGUGGAAGAGGGUGUGUGAGCGUGUGCAGUAUGUGAGUACAUGGGUACACGUGUGUGAGUUGUGUGUGAGCGUGUGUCCUUCAGGACUGGCCAUGCAGAGGCCUGGACACGGCGGGGCUACAGGGGAGAUCCUGGAGGGGUAACGGGGGACAGGACAGAGAAGGAAACUGGGGCAGGCUCAGGCAAGUGCCCAUGUUAGGAUCUCACUGAUGGUGGUAUGGGAGGGGCAGGGACAGGGCUCUGGAGGGAGAAGACUGCCCAGCUGUCUCCCUGUGCGUGUGGGCGCCACCAGCCACCCAGGCAACACCACAGGGAGCGGGAGACGCCUGGGGGCCGGGGCGGGGGGAGGUGCUAAGAAUCUCCCCACUGGGCGGCUCCUGUGGUGGAGGUCUUGGCACACGCCUGCCUGGAAUUUAAACCUGGGAGGAGAUCAGAGAGACAGCCCGCACGCCGCAGCCCUCCAGCCGGAGCUGCUCUAAACCCCGACCGCAGUGAAGGGAGCCGGUGGGAUUUUUGCCCAAGGAACCACAGCACCAACCACAGGGCCCACUCUGCCUCCCUGGACGGUCCUGCUCAGCCCUCCCCACGGGACCCCUCCUCCCACCUGGACCUGGGCUGGGUACCGCUCAGGGAGGCGGCGUCGGGGAGGACAGUGGACCCAGGGGGGUCUGGGAGAGGCUGCUGUGACGGGCCCAUGGCCCCACAGGCCCCCCCACCCAAGGUUUGGGGCUUUGAGAUGUCCAGCAGUUUGGCCAGGUGGGUGCUUUGUUCAGCCUGCUCCUCCCAUAGACCAAGAGGUGGGUGGCCUGGUGGUGGGGUGUGCCAGCCUCUCCUCCUGCCCUGAGGCUUUCUCAGUUCUCUCUAAGACCACUGCCCAGCCCCCUCCCCGGCCUCCUGCCUCCAACCUGAUCCUCUCAUCCACGGCCGUGCAGCUGUGAGAGGAGGAGUUGCCUAGCCAAUAUUCCCUUCCCAACCUACAUCAGCCAGAACUCUGAUCUGGUGUCAGGUGGCACUCUGUCCCGAUAAAGGACAGAUACCAGGCAUGCUUGCAGUUUGGGUGGCCAUGAGACCCAGUGCUGUCCUUGAAAUCUGAGUGCAUUUCUGGGACCUACUUAGACUUUGCCUUCUUGCCUGGAAUGGUGAUGUAGUGCCUGGUGUUCUGGCAACCAGUUUGUGAAUAUAAGGAAGGAAACUACGUGCUAAGGAUCUUAAAGCAAGAAGAUAAGAAAAAAAGCCUGGGUCCCUGAACAAAUUCUGAAACUUUUCAAUGAGCUCUGGACUGUUGCUAUCUAGCCUGCUUGUUGAAAGGGAGGUGGGAGAGUCUUCUAGAACCUUCCAGCAGAGGGAAUUGCGGUGAAGAACAAUGGCAAUCAGAACAGCUGGAGGGUCCAGGGGCUGGGAUGCAUUCUCUUAUUCUUUCUGGUUCUUUGCCUGAGUCUUUCUGCUCUGUUCCCUCUGACCCUUGUUCUCCCCGAUGGAACCCUGUCUCUGUGCCAGCUGCUCCCUCCUCUCCUUCCCCGCACUGCCAGCCUUGCAUGGAGCCUGUGCCCUUGGCCCUGGGACCGAUCCUUCCUGGUCUGGUCUGGUCCAUGAGACCUUCUGGUCCCUUGUGUAGCCCUUGUACUUCUUUCCAAGUCUGUAUUGAGAUCCGGCCUCAUUUCCCAAGUGUUCACAAUGGACGGCUUCCACCACAUUUCUUGGUGUGCACAUGACACAUCUUGGUGUCCCAGGCUUGGCUUCCUAGGAAGCCAACUCCAAGGUGAAGUGUAGCAUGCCGGGGGUAGGGGAUGGGUUUAGGGAGGACCCUUGGGACCCAGCUCCUGGGAAAGGAGGGGAAGGAAGCGGAUUCAGCUGAGGAAGGCAUCCAGGUGAGAUGCAGGUCCAAGGCCAGUCCUGCUCGGCCCUCUGGAGAGCUCUGGAGACAAAAGACCCUUCAGGUUGGGAAACAUUAGGUCAAAAUGAUCGGGUCCUUCUACCCCAGACUGGAUCACAUUUCAGAUGCUGCUCCCCCUGGAAGGGUGUGGCCCAGGCACAGAGCCUCCCCACAGAGGCCAUCCCUGAAGGGGGUGCGGAUUGAAGGCCACCCACCCCCUUCCUUGUUGGUGUGUCUGGAAGGUGCAUCUCCAUUCCAUCCCGUGGGUCAGCUUUCCAGGCGUGGCUCUUGGAAACCCACCCUCUGAUGGGAGCAGAAGGUUCACACAUUCCCCAAGUGCCCAUCCAGGGGCCGCUCCUCCUCCCGGUGAGGGUCCCAAGGGCCUAGGGGUGUCCAGUGGGAGCAGUGGCCAGCACAGUGGAGGCCCGUUUGGGGGCUCUGAGUGUGGAAGAUGAGGUAGGCUUCCGUGCACCCCCAUGAAGGCCUGGUUGCAGCAGACUUCGGUGCCCAGAGGCAGGAUGCCAUAAGGGUAUGCUGCCAGAAAUGGGAACUUGGGAGAACGGGAAAGAGAGGCAGGGUGAUGUUUAGCUCAGACUAAACAUCACCCUGGGAGAUGGUGGGAGAA